GGCCCACAUUUUAUUGGGCUUGGGAUACAAUCCGACCCAUGAGAAGGUGGAGGGAGACUCUUGAUCGGGUCUUCUCCCUCCCUGUUUCAAACCCAUCUUCCUCCUCCCGAAUCCACCAGAAAAAAAAAAAAACAGAGGGAAAAGGGGGAUUAAAUCUUACCUAAAUUGAACCAAACUCCAUCUAUAAAAGAUCCCUUUCUCCUCAUCCUAGGGCAUCAACCGAGUGCCGUUCAAAAGAAAAAGGAAAGAAAAAAAAAAGGGGAUCCGUGAGAUUGGGUUGUUCGCUGCCGAUCUCGCCGGAGGAACUCGCCGGAGUCAAGGGGAACAAUCUAUUGGACGAGAGGACGCUGAGUAGAGUCCUACGCAUUCCGGUUCAUAGAUCGCCGUGAGGGCGGGUGAUUAGUUGACUGAGAUUUCAAUAAAGUAGUUGCAGGAUGCAUAGAUUUGGAUGGGAUGGGCGCCGAGUGCGAGUACCCGAGUUAUUAGUUAGUUAGUUUGUUUAUCCUUCUUUUAUGUCGAUGAACAUUUGAAGACUUUGUAAUUGAACCAAUUUGUUUAUUUGGACAUGUCGGAUUUGUCUAUUUGAA
This is a non-coding RNA of Phoenix dactylifera (date palm), 587 nucleotides long. NCBI's taxonomy places the organism in Eukaryota, Viridiplantae, Streptophyta, Magnoliopsida, Arecales, Arecaceae. The record is from RefSeq and is a predicted model, not a curated record.